Molecule: ribosomal RNA, 94 nt
Filed under: Notechis scutatus (mainland tiger snake)
Lineage: Eukaryota; Metazoa; Chordata; Lepidosauria; Squamata; Elapidae
Source: RNAcentral
GCAGCAAGCUAUUUUGGCUGCUCUCAGAAAAGCUAAGCAGGGUCAGUCCUGGAUAAUAUUGGGUGGGAGACAACAGGGAGAUUUCAGGGCUGCA